CGGAAGUGAUUUCCCAAGGCGGAACCUCCAGCCUGGGGAAAGUGCGCAGAGCACACGCGUGUGCCCUCGGGUUUUUGCCUGGAGGAUCUGAGGUUGCGAAGGGCUGACGCCGGGGGCCAGGGACGAGCUUCUGAUUUGGAUCAGCGAUGGCUAGAAAGACGUGGACGUGAGCUUCAGGAAUGCGUCCUGGUGGAGCCUUUCAGUGAUGAGGCAAAGGAAGCAUCCACCUGAGAAGAGGCAGCCAGGGGCCUGCUGGGGCUGGUGGAAAAGGGGGAUGGUGAGCCUGCAGACAGGAGUCUCUGAGCCAGUGGCACAGCAGGCCUCAUCUGCACCCUGCUGUCUCUCACAGCAACCCCCCCCCAGACCUUCACGAGACAGGGACCGCCUGUACCUUCGCAGAUUCGUCUGUCUUAGAAACCACAAGUCCCUUUGGUUGGUGUUAGGAGCUGCUUGAGGGGUCUCUUGCCUUCCCUGAGCCCUUGAGCCCCCAGGCCAGCUGCCAAGGGGGGCCUGGUGUUCACUGGCCACAGAGCUGCUGGAAAGAACCAAGUCAACCAAAGUGGCAUCCCUGACACUGAUCGCGAGGUCUCGUAGGCAGGAGCCACCCUCCUGCCCGGGCCUCCCUGGAGUCGUGUCUUAUAUUUGUUGCACACGUCAGCCUAAGAGAGCUUCGGUUAUUUUUGACAGCCGUUCUCCAGCUUUCAAAGAUUAUGUAAAAACACUCCCUUUUUUUUUUAUGAGCUCUGUUUAACAAGGUAAAUAAAAGAUUUCUUUGCUGA
Callorhinus ursinus (northern fur seal) is the source of this 779-nucleotide long non-coding RNA. RefSeq lists it as uncharacterized. The record is from RefSeq and is a predicted model, not a curated record. Lineage: Eukaryota; Metazoa; Chordata; Mammalia; Carnivora; Otariidae.